CCUACGGGUGGCUGCAGUGGGGAAUAUUGGACAAUGGGCGAAAGCCUGAUCCAGCCAUGCCGCGUGUGUGAAGAAGGCCUUCGGGUUGUAAAGCACUUUCAGUGGGGAAGAAAGCCUUGGGGCUAAUACCCUCGAGGAAGGACAUCACCCACAGAAGAAGCACCGGCUAACUCCGUGCCAGCAGCCGCGGUAAUACGGAGGGUGCGAGCGUUGAAUCGGAAUUACUGGGCGUAAAGCGCGCGUAGGCGGUCUGAUAAGCCGGUUGUGAAAGCCCCGGGCUCAACCUGGGAACGGCAUCCGGAACUGUCAGGCUAGAGUGCAGGAGAGGAAGGUAGAAUUCCCGGUGUAGCGGUGAAAUGCGUAGAGAUCGGGAGGAAUACCAGUGGCGAAGGCGGCCUUCUGGACUGACACUGACGCUGAGGUGCGAAAGCGUGGGUAGCAAACAGGAUUAGAUACCCUAGUAGUC
Molecule: ribosomal RNA, 466 nt
Filed under: Vreelandella stevensii
Lineage: Bacteria; Pseudomonadati; Pseudomonadota; Gammaproteobacteria; Oceanospirillales; Halomonadaceae
Description: partial 16S ribosomal RNA
Rfam family: Bacterial small subunit ribosomal RNA
Source: RNAcentral